AUACGGAGGGUGCAAGCGUUACUCGGAAUCACUGGGCGUAAAGCGCGCGCAGGCGGCUAUUUAAGUUGGAUGUGAAAGCCUACGGCUCAACCGUAGAACUGCACCCAAAACUAUUUAGCUAGAGUGUGAGAGAGGAAGAUGGAAUUAGUUGUGUAGGGGUAAAAUCCGUAGAGAUAACUAGGAAUACCAAAAGCGAAGGCAAUCUUCUGGAACACUACUGACGCUGAGGCGCGAAAGCGUGGGGAGCAAACAGAAGUAGAAACCCUAGUAGUCC
This 274-nucleotide ribosomal RNA is filed under the name uncultured bacterium. RNAcentral describes it as "partial 16S ribosomal RNA". It matches the Rfam family "Bacterial small subunit ribosomal RNA", at positions 523 to 796 of the family's 1533-position model. The record is from RNAcentral.